GAUGAACGCUGGCGGCGUGCCUAAUACAUGCAAGUCGAGCGAACGGACGAUAAGCUUGCUUCUCUGAUGUUAGCGGCGGGCGGGUGAGUAACACGUGGAUAACCUACCUAUAAGACUGGGAUAACUUCGGGAAACCGGAGCUAAUACCGGAUAAUAUUUGGAACCGCAUGGUUCAAAAGUGAAAGACGGGCUUGCUGACACUUAUAGAUGGAUCCGCGCUGCAGUAGCUAGUUGGUAAGGUAACGGCUUACCAAGGCAACGAUGCAUAGCCGACCUGAGAGGGUGAUCGGCCACACUGGAACUGAGACACGGUCCAGACUCCUACGGGAGGCAGCAGUAGGGAACCUUCCGCAAAGGGCGAAAGCCUGACGGAGCAACGGCGCGUGAGUGAUGAAGGUCUUCGGAUCGUAAAACUCUGUUAUUAGGGAAGAACAUAUGUGUAAGUAACUGUGCACAUCUUGACGGUACCUAAUCAGAAAGCCACGGCUAACUACGUG
Molecule: ribosomal RNA, 497 nt
Filed under: uncultured bacterium
Lineage: Bacteria
Description: partial 16S ribosomal RNA
Rfam family: Bacterial small subunit ribosomal RNA
Source: RNAcentral